This 253-nucleotide ribosomal RNA is filed under the name uncultured bacterium. RNAcentral's name for it is "partial 16S ribosomal RNA". It matches the Rfam family "Bacterial small subunit ribosomal RNA", at positions 524 to 776 of the family's 1533-position model. The record is from RNAcentral.
UACAGAGGUGGCAAGCGUUGUUCGGAAUUACUGGGCGUAAAGGGCGCGUAGGCGGCCUUCUAAGUCAGACGUGAAAUCCCCCGGCUUAACCUGGGAACUGCGUCUGAUACUGGGAGGCUUGAGUAUGGGAGAGGGAUGUAGAAUUCCGGGUGUAGCGGUGGAAUGCGUAGAGAUCCGGAAGAACACCGGUGGCGAAGGCGGCCUGCUGGGCAGUAGCUGACGCUGAGGCGCGACAGCGUGGGGAGCGAACAGG